This 440-nucleotide ribosomal RNA is filed under the name uncultured bacterium. RNAcentral's name for it is "partial 16S ribosomal RNA". It matches the Rfam family "Bacterial small subunit ribosomal RNA", at positions 338 to 795 of the family's 1533-position model. The record is from RNAcentral.
CCUACGGGAGGCAGCAGUGGGGAAUAUUGGUCAAUGGGCGGAACGCUGAUGCAGCGAAGCCGCGUGAGGGAAGAAGGAUCUCGGUAUGGAAAGCUCUAUCAGCAGGGGAGAAAAUGACGGUACCUGACUAAGAAGCCCCGGCUAACUACGUGCCAGCAGCCGCGGUAAUACGUAGGGGGCAAGCGGUAUCCGGAUUUACUGGGUGUAAAGGGAGCGUAGACGGCAGAGCAAGUAUGAAGGGAAAGCCCGCGGCCUAACCGCGGGACUGCCUUGGAAACUGCCCGGCUAGAGUGUGUGAGAGGUAUGCGGAAUGCGUGGUGUAGCGGUGAAAUGCAUAGAUAUCACGCAGAACCCCGAUUGCGAAGGCAGCAUACCGGUACACAACUGACGCUCAGGCACGAAAGCGUGGGUAUCGAACAGGAUUAGAUACCCCGGUAGUC